GAAUAUUUUUAUUUUCUUUAACUCAAAAGAAAUUUUAAUUGCAAAAGUGUUAAGACUUCCAAUUAUCAUACCGACUUUGAGUUUAUCAUUCUCUUCUUUCUCUUCUCUCUUUCUUUCUUCUUAAUCUGACAAUAUUUAUUAAGCCCCUCCAUUAUGAAUGUAGCAUUCUUUUUGCCUUUUUCUUCUCUGGAUUGCUUUCAGUUUUUCUAAUGUUUAUCUUCUUUUAUUUCACUGAAAUAUUUAAUAUUACUGCCUUCCUCAAAUGUAGUUAUCAAUUAAUAUUUUUUCCUUAUUCAAAGGUUUUUGAAUAAUUUGUAAUGAAUUCAGUUUAAAAUGCAUGCCUUUAUGUUGUUCUGGUCAAUAUUCUUCAGCGAUUCAGUGGGAUCAGAAAUUAAUUUACAAAACCUGUGAAUGUCAUAAAGCAAACACAGUGGAGGAAAUGAAAUCACCAAUAUUUAAGAAUCACAUAGAUCCAAAUAAACAGCCCCCUAAAAAAGAUGAGAUUAUUAAUAAAUAAAGUCCUUUAUUUUGCUGAAAAAAAUGUGCAGAAACAGACUGGCAUUAAUACAUAAAAAUAAUGUUUUGGAGUUUCCAUUGCGGCUCAGUGGGUUAAGAACCUGACACAGUGUCUGUGAGGAUGCAGGUUUGAUCCCUGGCCUCAACUGGUUGGUUAAGGAUCUGGUAUUGCUGCAAACUGUGGCAUAGAUCAGAGAUGUGGCUUGGAUCCUGCAUUGCUGUGGCUGUGGCUGUGGUUGUGGCCAGCAACUGCAGCUCUGUUUCUACCCUUAGCCUGGGAACUUCCAUAUGCCAUAGGUGCAGCCCUAAAAAGAAAAAAUGUUUUACUUGCUUUGUUAAAUCUAAACUGAUAUUUUCAAAAAUAAUUUUCAUUGGUUUAUUAAAAUUAGAAACCCUACAUUUUGUAAACAAUUAAGUAAAGGGUAGUUGUGAGAUAAGAUAAACAGCAAACCUAUUUAACUUCAGACAGCUCAAAUAAAAUCAAAUGUAGUGUAUUAAUGCAUAAUCAUGUUUUAAAAUACAUAAACACUAUUAUUUCAAGAACCCCCUGUUUGUAGGGUACAGAGUUUUCUGUGCCUCCUGAAGAGUAUAGAGGAGCAUAUGAUAUGGUUAGAUAUUUAUUGAAUGAUUAAAUAAAUAUAGAAAUGCUGAAUGCAUGAAUUAAUUAUGUUACAUAGCUUAGCAGAUUCAUAGCAACGAUAAAAAUUCAUUCUACCUUCUCUCUCCUAUUAGUUUUACAGCCCUCAAGUUAUUUUCCCAUCCUGACCUAAUUCAAAUAAAAAACUUGAAACUUAUUGUACUACGAACUCUUGGUCAAAUUCAUCUUUUUCUUGUAUGUACCUAUAACUAAAGAUAACUUCUUUACAUGGCAUGAACAGAGAGCCUUAACCCAUACAAAAAUUAGAUCAUGCAUGAACACUAGAAAAUUUCCAAGUUCCAGUCUAAGUUAAAAAAAUAUGUAUAAACAAUUGAAAAUUUAGUAUCUAAAGAAUUCAUACACAGAUACAACUUUAAGACUGUCUUAUACAACCUUUCCCAGUAUGGGAAUUGCUUUACUUUCCAAAGGUGGAGGGGAUGGGGAGGCAGGUAAAGAGAGUGGCCAGUAGGCUCCUGCUCCUCAGGCCGUAUUCUUUAGAGAGAGAAACUUCAGUGCAGCACUAAUCCAAUGAGAGACAGUUGUGAUGAUUUUCUAAGUUAACACUUGAUAAAUGGUUUAUCGAACUUAAAAGUACAGCAUGUUAUGGAGAGAAGAUGUUUGCCGUAAAUAAAAGGGUAUUUUUUAAGAUGUACUGAUUCAUUUAAAACAAGUCUGAAUUUCAAGGAAAAAAUAAGAAUGGCUCAACUUGUUACUUGAAUACUUCAAACAAGGCAUUUGUAUUUCACAAGACCGUAUUUUCUUUAAAAGACCAACACAUGGUUAUUGCUCCAUAAAAUCAAAAGGUGAGCAGUUAUAAUAUUACCAGGCUUAUUUUAUUAUAUAAAUUUUUAACUCAAAAGCCAAGACAUAAAAAUAAUUUCUUCCAAUAAGAUUCUUUUAUGAAAUACAUCUUCUGAACUUGAAAUAUACAUACUGUCAGUAAUGCCAUUCAUUUUUAAAACAAAACUUGAAAUAUUAAAUAGAUGUGAUUUUAAUUGGGUGUUGUGAAGAGUUUUAUAGUACUCAGUUCUAUUACUAUUAUUCAGAAUAUUAAACUCAAAAUGAUAUUUACAGAGUUCCCGCCAUGGCUCAGAGCAAAUGAAUCUGACUAGCAUCCAUGAGGAUGCAGGUUCGAUCCCUGAACUCCCUCAGCGGGUUAAGGAUCCGGUGUUGCUGUGAACCUUGGUGUAGGUCACAGAUGCAGUGUGGAUCUGACAUUGCUAUGGCUGUGGUGUAGGCCAGCAGCUACAGCUCCAAUUCUACUACUAGCCUGGGAACCUCCAUAGGCCAUGGGUGCAAACCUAAAAAAAAAAAAAAAAA
RNAcentral lists this long non-coding RNA (2473 nucleotides) under Sus scrofa (pig). RNAcentral describes it as "lncRNA (ENSSSCG00050078197.1)". The record is from RNAcentral. Lineage: Eukaryota; Metazoa; Chordata; Mammalia; Artiodactyla; Suidae.